Molecule: RNA transcript, 2590 nt
Organism: Hibiscus syriacus
Lineage: Eukaryota; Viridiplantae; Streptophyta; Magnoliopsida; Malvales; Malvaceae
Gene name: F-box/kelch-repeat protein SKIP11-like
Exons: 3
Source: RefSeq, a predicted model, not a curated record
AACAAAACGUAAAAACGAAAAAUAAAUAAAUUUGUUUCAUCAAAUAAAAUUUCAAAUGUUUAUUUACUUUGUUUGUUUGGGGAGAGAGAAAAGGGAAGGGAGAGAACAAGUUUUAAGAUAGAUAAAGGGGACAUUUUUAGAUUUUGCUUGCAAAGCCAAAAUCAAAGCUCCCUCGUUCUGAUUUGCAGACUAAAUCCAAAGGACAAAUAAACAGCCUAUAGAGAGAGAAAAAACUAAACGAAGAAACUAGAUAACGCGAAGAACAGCAACAGCAAAUCAAAGGAACAACAAGUGGGGAAAAAAACCGAGAGAAUGAGAUAGUGAAUUUUUUUUGACGAAAAGAGGUUCAUUUCAAUUAUUUUUUCCUUGUGAAUUUUCCCUUAUCCAAUCAAAAGAAUUUGUUCCUCUUGACAUCGUUUAUUUCGGGGGAGGACAAUAGAACUUGUGGUCGUUACAGUGAUUUGAAAAUUCCCAUUGUUGUUUUGGGGAUUUUCCCGUCCGAGGUAGGGAGGGGGCAAAAGAGUCAUGUUGGAGAACCGGUCCUGCAAGUCCUGUUUAGUGUUUGCCAGUUCUUGUCAACGAGGAAGAAAGCGGGCUUACAUGUACCAUGGAAAGCGCCCAAGAGAAUUCACCGAUUCCGAUGGUUGUCCGGAAACCAAGUUGUCUAAGGUUUCUUCCGAUGAUUCCUCCAGUGACGAUAAUAAUAAUAACACUUCUUCCCCACAAGACUCAGAUGACCUUGUCUUGCCAGAUUCGCCUGACCAAUCCGAUGAUGAUGGUAAGAGAUCCAGUUCUUCUUCGGAUAUGGAUUCUUCACUUAUCCACCACAGCCCCAUUGGUCUAGGCAAAUCGGAUUUGGAUAACCAAUCAGACAAUGAAAGCCUGUCAGAUUCCGUGGAAGAGUCGCUGGUGGAGCAAUCUGAGGAAGAUGGUGGUAAUGAUAAUAAUGGCAUCUCUGAUUCUCCAAAGGAGGAUUGUCACCACAGACAUGGUGGGAAUUCACCAUCUGACUUGGAUGCAUUAAUCCAACCAAUUGGGCGAGAUAAUGAUAAUGACUUCUCUGAUUCUCCGGAGGAUGGUCACCACAGACAUACUGGGGAUUCUUCAUCCGACUUGGAUGCAUUAAUCCAACCAAUUGGGAGAGAUAACUCAAUCAGUUGUCUGAUUAAGUGCUCGAGGUCUGAUUAUGGUUCCAUUGCCAUGUUGAAUCGAAGUUUUCGUUCCUUAAUCAGGAGUGGAGAGAUCUAUAAGUUGAGGAGACAGAAUGGUGUUGUUGAGCAUUGGGUUUACUUUUCUUGUCACCUCCUUCAAUGGGAAGCAUUUGAUCCUAUUAGACAUAGGUGGAUGCAUUUGCCAAGGAUGCCUCCCAAUGAAAUUGAAUGUUUCAUUUUUUCAGAUAAGGAAUCACUGGCUGUGGGAACUGAGUUACUCGUCUUUGAGACUUCUCAGGUUAUAUAUAGAUAUAGUAUUUUAACAAAUUCAUGGACUUUUGGGACCAGUAUGAAUGCUCCAAGGUGCUUGUUUGGAUCAGCUAGUCUUGGAGAGAUUGCAAUUUUAGCUGGUGGUUUUGAUUCUCAGGGUAAUAUCCUGAGCUCUGCAGAAAUGUACAAUUCUGAGACUCAGAAAUGGGAGACUUUGCCAAGCAUGAAUAAGCCAAGGAGGAUGUGUAGCGGGGUAUUUAUGGAUAAGAAAUUUUAUGUGAUCGGAGGAAUUGGUGGGAAGGAUGCACAGGUUCUCACUUGUGGCGAGGAGUAUGAUUUAGAGACAAAAAAGUGGACUGAAAUUCCUAACAUGUCUCCUGGAAGGAGUAGAGUUGAGGCAGAUAUGCCUGCAGCAGCUGUGGCACCCCCUCUGGUUGCAGUAGUUAAUAAUGAACUGUAUGCUGCUGAUCAUGCUGACAUGGAGGUUAAGAAGUAUGAUAAGGAAGCAAACUCAUGGUUGACUAUCGGAAGAUUGCCUGAAAGGGCAGUAUCAAUGAACGGUUGGGGUCUUGCUUUCAGAGCAUGUGGAGAUCGCCUUAUAGUGAUUGGUGGACCUAGGGCUUUGGGUGAAGGUUUUAUUGAGCUCAAUUCUUGGGUUCCGAGCGAAGGGCCUCCAGAAUGGAACUUGCUUGCCAGAAAGCAAUUGGGUAACUUUGUGUAUAAUUGUGCUGUGAUGGGAUGCUAAGAGAUGGAUUGUGGUGGCAUCUUGUGCAGUUGAACGGUAUUGCACUGCCACCAGGGUCUGCAUGGUUGCUUUUUUCUUCAACACAGAACUCCGAAUUUUUACUAUUGUGACAUGAGAACUUGCGGAGGCUGGCGUCAUGUAGCACAGGAGUAUGUUUAAUAAUUUGAAGUAUCAACACAUUGGUAGGUUGCCAUUAGAGUUUGCUGAAGUUUUUUUAAGAACACAGAACUGGUCAUACGGGUUCCUUCUUUAAAUUUUCUCGGAAUUGUCUUCAAGGGAGGAAAUAAGUUCUGGAGGUGGUUAUCUUUAGAUGUUGGCUGAUGUACUGAUUACAUUGAUCAUUACAAUUCAUGAACUGUAUACUCCCAGAAUUUUUCUUAUGUACACUCUGGAAUCCUUUAUUGUUUUUAGUUUCUUUUGUUCA